CACCCUUGUAGUGUUGAUGUUCUAACGUCGACCCCUUAUCGGGGUUGCGGACAGUGCCUGGUGGGUAGUUUGACUGGGGCGGUCUCCUCCCAAAGAGUAACGGAGGAGCACGAAGGUGGGCUAAUCACGGUUGGACAUCGUGAGGUUAGUGCAAUGGCAUAAGCCCGCUUGACUGCGAGAAUGACAAUUCGAGCAGGUGCGAAAGCAGGUCAUAGUGAUCCGGUGGUUCUGAAUGGAAGGGCCAUCGCUCAACGGAUAAAAGGUACUCCGGGGAUAACAGGCUGAUACCGCCCAAGAGUUCAUAUCGACGGCGGUGUUUGGCACCUCGAUGUCGGCUCAUCACAUCCUGGGGCUGAAGUCGGUCCCAAGGGUAUGGCUGUUCGCCAUUUAAAGUGGUACGCGAGCUGGGUUUAGAACGUCGUGAGACAGUUCGGUCCCUAUCUGCCGUGGGCGUUGGAAGAUUGAAGGGGGCUGCUCCUAGUACGAGAGGACCGGAGUGGACGAACCUCUGGUGUUCGGGUUGUGUCGCCAGACGCAUUGCCCGGUAGCUAAGUUCGGAAUCGAUAACCGCUGAAAGCAUCUAAGCGGGAAGCGAGCCCUGAGAUGAGUCUUCCCUGAUACUUUAAGUAUCCUAAAGGGUUGUCGGAGACUACGACGUUGAUAGGUCAGGUGUGUAAGUGCUGUGAGGCAUUGAGCUAACUGAUACUAAUUGCCCGUGAGGCUUAACCAUACAACACC
RNAcentral lists this ribosomal RNA (738 nucleotides) under Vibrio parahaemolyticus. RNAcentral's name for it is "partial 23S ribosomal RNA". It matches the Rfam family "Bacterial large subunit ribosomal RNA", at positions 2201 to 2925 of the family's 2925-position model. Lineage: Bacteria; Pseudomonadati; Pseudomonadota; Gammaproteobacteria; Vibrionales; Vibrionaceae. The record is from RNAcentral.